CCCUAAUUAAAUACACCCUUCUAGGCCAAACAGAACCUUAUUUUCAUAACAUAAAAAAAAAACUUUCAAAAACGGAUCUUUGGGUUCCCCCAUCAAUAAAAAACCCACCAAAUUGCAAUACUUAAAAUGACUUGCAAACUUGAAUCAUUGAAUCUUUGAACCCCCUUUGCUUCUGGGGGUUUCCCCCAAGGCAGGCAAUAAUAAGGGGGGGUUCCCCCAGGCCCUGGGUUUGGUUUUUUUACAAUUCAAAAAUUUCAAAUUUAUUUUUCCCCCCCCCCCCCCUCCCCCCCAAAACACCCCCUUAAAUUUAACGCAUAUCAAUAAGCGGAGGA
This 332-nucleotide ribosomal RNA is filed under the name Metschnikowia sp. (in: budding yeasts & allies). Its description in RNAcentral is "Metschnikowia sp. (in: Fungi) partial 26S ribosomal RNA". The stretch from base 61 to 210 matches the Rfam family "5.8S ribosomal RNA". Lineage: Eukaryota; Fungi; Ascomycota; Pichiomycetes; Serinales; Metschnikowiaceae. The record is from RNAcentral.